UGAGUGGCAAACGGGUGAGUAUAAUGUGGGAAUCUGCCUUUUGGUUCGGAAUAACACGAGGAAACUUGUGCUAAUACCGGAUAAGCCCUUCGGGGGAAAGAUUUAUCGCCUUUAGAGCGGCCCGCGUUAGAUUAGCUAGUUGGUGGGGUAAAGGCCCACCAAGGCUACGAUCUAUAGCUGGUCUGAGAGGAUGAUCAGCCACAUUGGGACUGAGACAUGGCCCAAACUCC
Molecule: ribosomal RNA, 230 nt
Filed under: uncultured bacterium
Lineage: Bacteria
Description: partial 16S ribosomal RNA
Rfam family: Bacterial small subunit ribosomal RNA
Source: RNAcentral